RNAcentral lists this long non-coding RNA (206 nucleotides) under Lathyrus oleraceus (garden pea). Its description in RNAcentral is "Pisum sativum (pea) long non-coding RNA (PSAT_LNC016588)". Lineage: Eukaryota; Viridiplantae; Streptophyta; Magnoliopsida; Fabales; Fabaceae. The record is from RNAcentral.
UUGGAUGUAUCAGAAUGACACGUAUCCAGAGGUCACUAAUAUUCUAAAAAAGCAGAAGCUAAUAUACUUCAAUGACAAAAUCCAACCGGUUUCACUGGAUCUGAUCUGGGAGUUCUACGCCAAUGCACUACGGGUAACAUCUGAUGAGGAAGACCCCACAGGGAAUGCAUCGUUCGUUUCAUGGGUAAGGGGCAAAGUGAUCAAAU